This 253-nucleotide ribosomal RNA is filed under the name uncultured bacterium. Its description in RNAcentral is "partial 16S ribosomal RNA". It matches the Rfam family "Bacterial small subunit ribosomal RNA", at positions 524 to 776 of the family's 1533-position model. The record is from RNAcentral.
UACGAGGGGGGCGAGCGUUGUUCGGAAUUAUUGGGCGUAAAGGGUGCGUAGGCGGUUUGGUAAGUCUUAUGUGAAAUCUACAGGCUCAACUUGUAGUCUGCAUGAGAAACUGCCGGGCUUGAGUAUGGGAGAGGUGAGUGGAAUUCCUGGUGUAGCGGUGAAAUGCGUAGAUAUCAGGAGGAACACCUGUGGCGAAAGCGGCUCACUGGACCAUAACUGACGCUGAUGCACGAAAGCUAGGGGAGCAAAUAGG